UACGUAGGGGGCUAGCGUUGUCCGGAUUUAUUGGGCGUAAAAGGCUUGUAGGUGGCCACGCCAAGUCGGAUGUGAAAGCCCCCGGCUCAACUGGGGAGGGUCAUUCGAUACUGAUCGACUCGAAGGCAGGAGAGGGAAGUGGAAUUCCCGGUGUAGUGGUGAAAUGCGUAGAUAUCGGGAGGAACACCAGUGGCGAAGGCGACUUCCUGGCCUGUUCUUGACGCUGAGGCGCGAAAGCUAGGGGAGCAAACGGG
Molecule: ribosomal RNA, 254 nt
Filed under: uncultured bacterium
Lineage: Bacteria
Description: partial 16S ribosomal RNA
Rfam family: Bacterial small subunit ribosomal RNA
Source: RNAcentral